CCCGCUCGGAUGACGCCGCCGCCGCCGCCGGCUCCUUCGCUCACUUCUCACGCCUGGAGCCCUUUCCGCCCCUGCUCGGGCCCACCCGUUGUGCCUCCCUGACUGGCUGCUGGGGCUCGAGCUCAGACUUGGGCUGUCCCGUGAUUGCCUUCACCUAACACCAUUCCAGCCGUAGGAGCCAUCAUCAGCCUUUCAGGUCCGGAACUUCUCCCGAACUCAACUUCGGCACACUGCUACCCCGCUCAGCAGACACUCGCUUUCCAUCCUUGCAGAGUGAUCUACAAGAUCUAAUGACUCCUGGCGAAAAGGACCUCCAGUUCUAGAAUAACACGGUUGGACGUAUGUUGCUGGUGUUAGGAGCCGUAGAGUGGGUUCCGACUCACAGGGACGUUAUGUGAGAGUUCUGAUUGUUCUCAACAGCUCUUACCGUUUCAUUUACCUUGCUACUGUUUUAUUUCUAUCUCCUUGGCCCCUUGCAGUAUUAGCUUCUGAACUUCUGACUGUAAAAGGUAAUAGAUUCUAUACCAGGCGCUCUUUGGAAACCCUAUGGGGCAGUUCUGCUCCGUCCUUUAGGGUCGCUAUGAGUCAGAAUCAACUGGGCGGCGACGGGUUUUUUUUUGUUAGUUUUUUUAAUCGUUACUUAAAACACAAGCAAUUAUCCACUGCUUAGUGUGUAUAAAUUAAGUUACAGGCUUAAGAAGUAACAAGUGAAAGAAUUUCCUGACCUCAACAUACACUACUGGUGAAAUGUAUCUCUUGAAAUCGUAACCAACAUUAAACGCAUUGCCAUCAAGUGGAUUCCGACUCAUCAUGAUCCUAUAGGGCAGAGUACAGUUGCCCUAGAAGGCUUCCAAGGCUGUAAUCCCUAUGGAAGGGGACUGCCACAUCUUUGUACCAGAGGAGCCUCUGGUGGGCUCCAGCCACCAACCUUACGCUUGGCAGCCAGCACUACACCUCCCUGCUACCACGUGGUAAAUGUGAAGGCACUUGUAGCAUGGAGGAAUGGACACUGCACUGGGAACUGGAUAAACUAGGUGUGCAGCUUCCAAUUCAUAUCCAUGUAACUUAACGCCACUGGACUUUAUUUUCCUUAUUUGCAAAUGAUUCUUUGGUCUUUUCCAGCUGUUAAACUGUAUAAUAAACUCUCUACAGGCGAUGCCAAAUAAAUGAUAGGAAUUUACAUAGGAUUUUGGGAAAAGGACCAAUUCCAACUGGUGUUUUCAGGGACCAUUUCCUGGGGAGCUACGAUGUGAAUUCUGUUUUGACUGAUAGCUUUGGAUAGGUGGAAAGAAAAAGGACAGAUGUUAAAAUUUUAAAGACAACACCUUAUGUAUACUAUUGUCAAAGUAAACAAGAGGAAGACAUUAUUCUUUUUCAGUGAUUUGAAAACUUUCACCUAUCUAUAGCCUUAAAUAAGAAAUGACAAUUCUCUGACUUUACAGGGCCUUCAAGGCUAAGCUUUUCCUCCAAUGUGGAAAAAAAAAAAAAAUCAAACUAGGGAUGUUUCUGCUUCUCCCUUCUUCUAACAGUACGCUUUCUAGAGACAGUGCAGUUGCAGAAACGUCUCCCUUCUUCAUGACUGCGUGUAUACUUCAAUUAAAGGAGCUUAGGAAGUUCAUAAUUGAGAACUUUUUUGCUCUAGUUAAAAUGCUUGAGAAAGUCAAGAUGUGUGUGGUUAGAUUAAGCAAUUCAACUGAUGCCAAGAAAAGCGAUCAUUUGUAGAAAGUACAGGAACUUUGUGGAUGAAAGUUAAAUAUAGUACUUAUAAGAAGUUCACAGGGGAGUUAGUGGAAGGUGGAAAACUUAUGGGAUAUUCUGAUUAAAUGUGAUUAAAAAGCUAGACCUCAGGCUAACAUCCUUAUCGUGAAAGACACUGCUGACAAAUUAAUGGAACACAUCUUACAUACUUUAUCUCUUACUCCAAAACCUAGCACUGAGAGUAAAAUGGGCCUUACCUGACUUUAAAAAAAAAAAAAAAAAUUUUUUUUUUUUACCUGACUGUAUGAAUCAGAAAAGAUUAUGUUACCGUGUACUCCCAAAUAUCUCCAAAAUCGCCAUAGCUUAACACAACAAAAGUUCGUCACUUGCUUAUGUUUUACGUGGAUUAGACUCACUCUGUUCAAGUUACUCCAGGAACCAGAGUGACAGAGGCUCCACCAUUUUGUAAAUCGACACCUGAAAUGAAGCAGCUCAGCCUCUGUGGCAGGGGAAGAAAGAGACUCAAGAAUCCCCACGAACUUUUCAGUCUUGGUGCAAACUGAAAGGCUGGUGGUUUGCUUAGAGCCCACCCAGAGGCACCAUGAGUCAGAAUCAACUCGGGUGGCAGUGUAUUUUUAGGAGUCCCUGGGUGGAGCAAAUCGUUAAGUGUUGGGACUGUGAGCCAAAAGAUUGACAGUUGGAAUACAUUCAGAGGCACCUUGGAAGACAAGCCUGGCGAUCUGCUUCCAAAAUAUCACAGUCCUGAAAAACCUUUGACACACAUGAGGUCACCUUGAGUCAGAAUUGACUCAAUGACAGCUAACAACUGCUUGGACUAGAAACAGAUUUCCGCUCACAUUUUAUUGGCCAGAACUAGUAACAUUAGCAAUUAGUGAACUAGUGAACAAUACUGAUGUCAACCGUCUUGACCCACCAAGCAGCUCCUACCCAGUGCAGCUCCUGGAUGCUGUGAAAAAAUUCUUUUUCUUCCAUACACUGGCUUUCUUGAGUGACUUAAAACCAAAAGAGAGAGAAGGAAACCCAAGACACAGAGAAGAAACUAGUCUACAGGACUGUCUACGCAAACUACAGCCUCAUCCACCCUGAGACCAGAAGAACUAGAUGGUACCCAGCUACCACUACAGAUGGCUGUGAUCAGGGCCACAAUAGAUGGUUCCUGAUAGAACGGGAGAAAAAUGUGGAACAGAACCUCAAAUUCUUAAAAAAUCCAGAACUACUGGAUCGGUUGAGAGUAGAGGGCUCCCCAAGACUACUGCCCUGAUAUAUUCUUUAAACCUUGAAUAGAAACUAUCCUCGGGAUCACCUUUCAACUAUAUAACAGACUGGCUUACAAAGCAUAUUACCUCAAUGAGAUUUGUGCCUCGGCCUUGAAUCUAGGAACAUCCAGAUUCAUCCUGAAAACUAACAAAGAAUAGAUAAUUCUGGUGGAAACUGAGAACUGAGAUGGAAAUUCCUCUGAAAAACGACGCUGGAAGAUCCCAGGAGGAAAGCACAGAUGAAGAGUACAAAAUAUUUAAGUCAUGUUAUGAUUCAUCCAAACUGACUUUCUGGACAUUUUAGUUUUUUCCUAUUUGAAGCAAGGCACGAGAAUGGUUUUUGUGGGGCAUAAGAGGGUAGACAGUAAAGACAUCUCUUAUCUCACACAGUUCUUAGAAACAGUUUUUUAGUAAAAAAAUUUAGAAGAACUGCCAAAUCACACCCAUGCAAGAAAAUUUAAUUAUAAUUUUAGACUAAAUCAAGAUUUGGAAACCCAUGCAGUACCCAUCUGCUGAGUCAUUAGCAUUUUACACUCCACAAAAGCAAACUAUUUAAAUGCGUAUUGAAUAACAUACUAAAGUAGGCUAUAAUUUACGUAAAUUUGAAAAACCAUCCUGAUCAAUCUGAAAUACCAAGGUUUAUGUGUUACAUCCAGGAGUAGAUAUUUUCUAAGGAUGUCUAGUCUGUCUGUAGAAAAUUUUUAUUUUAUCACUUUCUUAAACACAUUUCAUAGGUCAUCCUUGCAGGGUCAGAAUUGACUCUGAUUCCUUAAGGAUAAUGACGACUGCUGCAUAAGGGAUGAGAAUGAGAAAAAGGAUAGCUGUAAAUGAACCCUCUUGUCACAAUAUUCUGUUUAGGAUACUGUUAACCCUGUUAGCAAGCAGAACUUUAUUUGGAUGUUGAUUUUAAAGAGGCCUAUCAUACUUUCAGAAUAAAAUCUAAAGCA
Molecule: long non-coding RNA, 3922 nt
Organism: Loxodonta africana (African savanna elephant)
Lineage: Eukaryota; Metazoa; Chordata; Mammalia; Proboscidea; Elephantidae
Exons: 3
Source: RefSeq, a predicted model, not a curated record